CCAGGGCACAUGCUCAAGGACCUACCCCCU
This 30-nucleotide non-coding RNA is filed under the name Rattus norvegicus (Norway rat). The record is from RNAcentral. Lineage: Eukaryota; Metazoa; Chordata; Mammalia; Rodentia; Muridae.